Molecule: ribosomal RNA, 899 nt
Filed under: uncultured bacterium
Lineage: Bacteria
Description: bacterial SSU rRNA
Rfam family: Bacterial small subunit ribosomal RNA
Source: RNAcentral
CGAGCGGCGAACGGGUGAGUAACACAUCGGAACGUACCCUAUCGUGGGGGAUAACACAUUGAAAGAUGUGCUAAUACCGCAUACGCCCUGAGGGGGAAAGCGGGGGAUCGCAAGACCUCGCGCGAGAGGAGCGGCCGAUGUCGGAUUAGCUAGUUGGUGAGGUAAAGGCUCACCAAGGCGACGAUCCGUAGCUGGUCUGAGAGGAUGAUCAGCCACACUGGAACUGAGACACGGUCCAGACUCCUACGGGAGGCAGCAGUGGGGAAUUUUGGACAAUGGGGGCAACCCUGAUCCAGCCAUUCCGCGUGAGUGAAGAAGGCCUUCGGGUUGUAAAGCUCUUUCGGCAGGAACGAAACGGUGGGAGUUAAUACCUUCUGCUAAUGACGGUACCUGAAGAAGAAGCACCGGCUAACUACGUGCCAGCAGCCGCGGUAAUACGUAGGGUGCGAGCGUUAAUCGGAAUUACUGGGCGUAAAGCGUGCGCAGGCGGUUUUGUAAGACAGAUGUGAAAUCCCCGGGCUUAACCUGGGAACUGCGUUUGUGACUGCAAGACUAGAGUGCGGCAGAGGGGGGUGGAAUUCCACGUGUAGCAGUGAAAUGCGUAGAGAUGUGGAGGAACACCGAUGGCGAAGGCAGCCCCCUGGGCCGGCACUGACGCUCAUGCACGAAAGCGUGGGUAGCAAACAGGAUUAGAUACCCUGGUAGUCCACGCCCUAAACGAUGCCAACUAGGUGUUGGGGGAAGGAGACUUCCUUAGUACCGUAGCUAACGCGUGAAGUUGGCCGCCUGGGGAGUACGGUCGCAAGAUUAAAACUCAAAGGAAUUGACGGGGACCCGCACAAGCGGUGGAUGAUGUGCAUUAAUUCGAUGCAACGCGAAAAACCUUACCUACCCUUGAC